UGAAUCCAAAAUGAUAGUGUUUUGUGAGCAAAAGAUCAUGAUUAAUCCGGUUAUCUGAUGUCCGAGUUUGAAA
Molecule: small nucleolar RNA, 73 nt
Filed under: Procavia capensis (Cape rock hyrax)
Lineage: Eukaryota; Metazoa; Chordata; Mammalia; Hyracoidea; Procaviidae
Description: Small nucleolar RNA SNORD112 (ENSPCAG00000020437.1)
Source: RNAcentral